Molecule: ribosomal RNA, 253 nt
Filed under: uncultured bacterium
Lineage: Bacteria
Description: partial 16S ribosomal RNA
Rfam family: Bacterial small subunit ribosomal RNA
Source: RNAcentral
UACGAAGGGGGCUAGCGUUGCUCGGAAUUACUGGGCGUAAAGGGCGCGUAGGCGGAUAGUUUAGUCAGAGGUGAAAGCCCAGGGCUCAACCUUGGAAUUGCCUUUGAUACUGGCUAUCUUGAGUUCGGGAGAGGUGAGUGGAAUGCCGAGUGUAGAGGUGAAAUUCGUAGAUAUUCGGCGGAACACCAGUGGCGAAGGCGACUCACUGGCCCGAUACUGACGCUGAGGCACGAAAGCGUGGGGAGCAAACAGG